GGAACGGUGUCCGAGUGGUUGAAGGAGCACGCCUGGAAAGCGUGUAUACGGGCAACCGUAUCGAGGGUUCGAAUCCCUCCCGUUCCGCCA
This 90-nucleotide transfer RNA is filed under the name Deinococcus metallilatus. Its description in RNAcentral is "tRNA-Ser". It matches the Rfam family "tRNA". From Rfam's summary of the family: Transfer RNA (tRNA) molecules are approximately 80 nucleotides in length. Their secondary structure includes four short double-helical elements and three loops (D, anti-codon, and T loops). RNAcentral also lists the same sequence under 1 other name. The record is from RNAcentral. Lineage: Bacteria; Thermotogati; Deinococcota; Deinococci; Deinococcales; Deinococcaceae.